GAAGUAAAAGUCGUAACAAGGUUUCCGUAGGUGAACCUGCGGAAGGAUCAUUAUCGAGUUUUGAAGCGGGGUUGUAGCUGGCCUUUCAAGGCAUGUGCACGCUCCGUUCAAUCCAUUCUACACCUGUGCACCCACUGUAGGUCUUGGCGGCUUUGCAGGCUUCGCGGUCUGCGAAGCUUACCCUGGGCUUACGUUUUCCACAAACCCUUUGAAGUCUUAGAAUGUGUAUCACGAUGUAACGCAUCUAUAUACAACUUUCAGCAACGGAUCUCUUGGCUCUCGCAUCGAUGAAGAACGCAGCGAAAUGCGAUAAGUAAUGUGAAUUGCAGAAUUCAGUGAAUCAUCGAAUCUUUGAACGCACCUUGCGCUCCUUGGUAUUCCGAGGAGCACGCCUGUUUGAGUGUCAUGAAAUCAUCAACUUGCAGACCUUUGUGGGCUUGCAUGCUUGGACUUGGAGGCUUGCCGGUUGCGUGUAACAACGUUGGCCCGGCUCCUCUCAAAUGCAUUAGCUUGAUUCCUUGCGGAUCGGCUCUCGGUGUGAUAAUUGUCUACGCCGCGACCGUGAAGCGUUUGGCGAGCUUCUAAUCGUCUCCAUCAGAGACAAUUCUUCAUUGACUCUGACCUCAAAUCAGGCGGGACUACCCGCUGAACUUAAGCAUAUCA
RNAcentral lists this ribosomal RNA (663 nucleotides) under Neofavolus suavissimus. RNAcentral's name for it is "eukaryotic LSU rRNA". The stretch from base 253 to 406 matches the Rfam family "5.8S ribosomal RNA". Lineage: Eukaryota; Fungi; Basidiomycota; Agaricomycetes; Polyporales; Polyporaceae. The record is from RNAcentral.